AAACUGUCAGAGGUGCUCAUGGGUGGCCCAAGAACAAGGAAACUGAAGUGGCCUCACCAAGGGGGUCAGCCUCUGUUUCUGCUGAUGCUAUGUAAUACUGAGUGUGGAUCCUCUGCUCUGUGGGUGGUGCUCUGUGGCAACGGGCUGUCAGAGUGGACCAGUACUCUGAAGAGGAAAAAAUUAUCUGUGUGAAGAAACAUGGAUUCACUUCAAACCUGUCCUUUCCGAGCUACACUGAGUAAACUGGGACAGCUUCCGGUCCUCCAUCCAGGUCACAACCCCACCCCCACAGUCCUCUGGGUAAACUCUGGUAUGAAAAAUUCAUUUCGGAUUUGACCAAGGAGCUCAGAAGUUUAUGUGAUGGGGAGCAUAGACUAUAUCUUGGGAACAAUUAGGUCUUCAAGAGGUCUCCAUCCUCUGCCUACUUACAAACAGAACACAGCUCAGAUGUGGGACACACCAGAAAGAGAACCGUUCUGUGGGCCAUCUUAGAUCUUCUCUGAAAGUGCCUGUGAGAGAAGUGAAGGGAUUUUCGCAGGAAGAUUGGAAAUGUGCUGCUCCUCAAUGCCUCAAGUGGCUCCAGGAAUGGCGACACAUCUGUCAGGGUCAAGGUGACUGCAGGACAGAGGUCCCACAAAGGGACUUGGGAGCAACCCAUGGCAUGGCCCCUAUGAGAAGAGUGCUGCUCUGGCUCACCCAGGGGAUGCUUCCCUUGGCCAAAGACCAGACUCAAGUCAAAUCUGUACUAUUGCUUUACCUCUUCUCCUGCCCAUGGCUUUAACUGUGUUGGAUCUGAAACAGCAGAGAGAGAGAGAGUGGGGCAGGAGAGGUCCAGGACAGGAGAAGUCAACAGUGUAUUAUUAUGCCAUGAGUCAUGCUUGUUCAACAUACUGGUUAUACAAACCAGAAAAGGUUUUGUCUGUUUUUCUUGGUUUGUUGACCUAAUUACUAAUACACAUCUUUACUUUUCUCUUAGAGCCUGAUCACAUCCCUACCUUUCCAUUCCUUCUUUCUGCAUCUCAUAUUUUGUAUACACUUCUAUGAUAGCACUCCAUCUUGCAUUAUAACUGAUUGCUUACCACUAUUUCCAUACUGAAAGAUGUGUUCUUUGUGGCAGCAGCUGUAUUUUAUUUAUGUUAAUAUUCUCUAUAUCCAGCUCAGUGAUGCCAUAUGGUUGGUAUGCAAUCAAUUCUUGUUAAAUGAAAGACUAAAUGAAUAUAUGCAUAUUGAUAGGAAGAACUUGGCAAAAGGGAGAUAUAUUUAGGCCUUUUGAAGCUUCUUGAAUCUCACCAGCUGGGCUGGGCUCAUAGUUCCUGCUUGUAGUUCCAUUCACAUUCCCUAAAGACCUGGGUAGCUCUUUGAAUAUUUGGAUUUGUUGAGGGGAAUCCCAAUUAUACUCAUUAGACAGCACAUCCCUGAGGAGGGAUGGAAACAUUGAGAACACGCUCUCCAUCAGGGUAAAUAAAAGAAGGGAACUGAGCCACGCCUGUCCAAUCUCAACAGAACCCUCUGUUGUACAGGAAACAGUGGAGAAAUUGUUCAUUUACAUCUCAUUCCUGAUGGAAAUAUUCCAACUGCAAAGCCAGUGUCAGCUUUGAUUUCCUGCCCUGAGAGGAGGCGCGGUCAAAAGGCACAAAGUGGGCUUGUGCAGUCAGAGGAAUUAGGUUGGGUAAGAAGAGACUCUCACACUCCAUCUUUGUUCAAUGGUGGAACUUCUAGCUGGGGUGGUCAACCCAGCCCAGCCCAACCUUAGCCUUGGGGGCCUGUGAGGACUCCAUUCUCUUAGAACCACAAGAUAUCAGG
This 1803-nucleotide long non-coding RNA is filed under the name Homo sapiens (human). RNAcentral's name for it is "non-protein coding lnc-ME3-4:2". Lineage: Eukaryota; Metazoa; Chordata; Mammalia; Primates; Hominidae. The record is from RNAcentral.